UUGAUGUUUUUCCACAUGAAUAGCGGAGAGGUGAUUGUGUGUCUGUCUUCGGCAUACACCUUGAAGGACUGCAACAAUCCAGGAAGAGUUGACGGGUCCUGCGCUGAUGGCAAUGAACAAGAUGAUGUGCAGUGGCCUAGUAGAAGAGGAGACACAUUUUUCACAAAGUUGUUUUUAAUUACCAUCAAGUGAUCAUGGUAAAUUUCCAAAUAGUCAUUGAUGGGACUUAGUUUAUAUUCAGGUAUUCACAUCAAAGAUGAUACUGUCCAUUACCAGUUAACAAGUUGUAUCCUGCCACUUGCUUGUUAUAAGUAUGUUUCUUAAGAUUCUAGCAGUCCUGACACCACAGUGAUAGACAGUGGUCGUCAG
This is a long non-coding RNA of Leopardus geoffroyi (Geoffroy's cat), 369 nucleotides long. RefSeq lists it as uncharacterized. NCBI's taxonomy places the organism in Eukaryota, Metazoa, Chordata, Mammalia, Carnivora, Felidae. The transcript has 3 exons. The record is from RefSeq and is a predicted model, not a curated record.